CCUACGUGAGGCUGCAGUGGGGAAUAUUGGGCAAUGGGCGCAAGCCUGACCCAGCAACGCCGCGUGAAGGAAGAAGGCUUUCGGGUUGUAAACUUCUUUUGUCAGGGAAGAGUAGAAGACGGUACCUGACGAAUAAGCCACGGCUAACUACGUGCCAGCAGCCUCGGUAAUACGUAGGUGGUAAGCGUUGUCCGGAUUUACUGGGUGUAAAGGGCGUGUAGCCGGGUUGACAAGUCAGAUGUGAAAUCCUGCGGCGUAACCGCAGAACUGCAUUUGAAACUGGUGAUCUUGAGUACUGGAGAGGCAGACGGAAGUCCUGGUGUAGCGGGGAAAUGCGUAGAUAUUAGGAGGAACACCAGUGGCGAAGGCGGUCUGCUGGACAGCAACUGACGGUGAGGCGCGAAAGCGUGGGGAGCAAACAGGAUUAGAUACCCGGGUAGUC
This 442-nucleotide ribosomal RNA is filed under the name uncultured bacterium. RNAcentral describes it as "partial 16S ribosomal RNA". It matches the Rfam family "Bacterial small subunit ribosomal RNA", at positions 338 to 795 of the family's 1533-position model. The record is from RNAcentral.